Non-coding RNA from Anas platyrhynchos (mallard), 5172 nucleotides. The record is from RefSeq and is a predicted model, not a curated record. Lineage: Eukaryota; Metazoa; Chordata; Aves; Anseriformes; Anatidae.
CCUGCCCCCAUCCGGAUGGGGUCCCCCGAUCCUCUGCCACCCCGCCUGCUCCCCUCCCACCCUCCUGCCUGCUCGCAGCCUCCACCCUCACACCCCAAGGACUUCCAGCUGCCUGCAGCGGGCUGUGGGAGGGCAAGCGGGGCGCCCUGCCCGCAGCACCCCCCGUGAGGAUGCUGCUGGACCUGCCCGCGGCGAAAACCCCGCUGGCGGCUCGCAGGGCUGCUUUCCCGCUAGGGGGCUUGCUCUCCCGUGCCACCUCUUUUUUAUUAUUAUUAUUAUUAUUUUUCUUAGGCUCUUCUUUCACUCGUUAAAAAGCGUCGAAGCGGUUUUACGCCGUGCCGCCUCCGCUGCACGCUGCUUGAGCCGAAGCCCUCUGCUCCCUGCCUCCCGAGGAGCCCAACCGCAGCGCUAAUAGGAUUUUGGCUGGCACAGGUGUUGAUGAGCCAGUGUGCUCCUCUCACACCAGCUUUCGUUGACAAGGCUACGCUGGUAAAACUUCCUGAUUUAAGCCAGAGCUGAGAAACAUCAUCAUUUUACCCUCCCGACUGUAGCGAAUGACAACUGGGAGCCUCCUGUGCUCUGCUGCCACGCCGGGGGAGGAUGCGGCUGGGGACAGAGCUGUAAAGAGCUGGUCCAGCAGCAGAACGAAGGAAAUGCUUGUGACCCUGAGAGCCCAUCAGCAGAAAGGCUCGUCUCACCUUGCUGGUGCCUCCUCUGGUGCAGCUGCCAGUGGCAGCUUGCCAAAUGCUCCUUGCAGGAGCACGGGACCGUCGCCGGGGAUGCUUGAAUUCUCCUUACGCCUCACCUGCGCGUGCGAUCCAUAUUAAUUGCUUUCUGGAGUGGUCUGAGGUCCUUGAGCAAAGGAAGGAAGAAACUGCGUCUCUUUUCAACAGCACAGGCCACCGAGGACCUUCUACGUUUACUGGCACAGUAAAAGUCUGCAGCAGCAGAUGAUGCACCCGAUACAGGCAGGGUGCCCGUCCCCCUGCACGUGGCAGUGCGGACAGCAGUGAAGGACACGGCUCUUCCAGCACAGCAGUGAUGGCCAGGAUCAACUAAUAACAUCAUGACUUCUCUUCCUAUGGGUGAAUGCUGCAGAUACCGUCUGGCUGAUCUUCACAGUCAUAUUCCUAAAUCCUUGGGGUCUUGUAAUCGUAGAGAAAGAUUACUUCACCUUGCAGCAGCAGCAGGAAGGGGACUUUCACAGUUAAGCUUUCGUAAGCUUAAAGCUUGUGUUUGAGAAAUAUUGAACAACGUUUGUCCUCAAAAAUAUUCGGGACGAAUAUAGGUGCAAAAGUGCUUGAGUCAGUAAGCGUUGAAACUAUUUGCUGACUUUUACACAAACGUGUUGGCAAUGGGUUUAUCUGCUGCUGUCUCGCUGAGCUCUGAUCUAGCUUCCCCUGUGCUCCCACUGAAAUCUCCAGCUUGCUCCCUGCCCUGCAGCUUCUUUAAUGUAGCUCUGUGCAGCUGAUGUAAGAGUCAAGAGUGUGUGAUGACUGGGAGGUAUCAUGAAAGAAAUUGAAUUUAAUAUCAAAGUAAGCAGCAGGGGGUAGCUGUGUUGAUGUUGUUAUUCUUUUCCAUAUUCCACUAAUUAAGAAGUUCCAUUUUUGAACUUAAAUUGCUGUGAAACCCGUCUUGCAGUGCACAGUGUCAAAAUUUAGCACCUCGAAUUUAAGCUCCAUUUACAUGUGAGGGAACACAAGAGCAUUGCUUAAUUAUGCCUAUUGGAAAUCCUUAUAUUUGAAAAAGCCUUUGGAUGUCAGUGAUGGAAGACACGUAAAAGACAAGGAAAUCAGACUUUUGUAAAUCUCUGGAAUUAGUGUAUCUUUUCAUUCUGCAGUUCUCCUGAAGUUCUCUGUGGUAAUUUUUUCGAUAACGGUAGGGAAAAAAUAUGUCACUCAAAUCUGGACUGUCAAUACCACAACCUAGACCACCACAUGUAUGUGAAAUUUAAAAAUAAGUAUGGCCAAAUUCAGCUUAAGGGUCUUGCAAUGCAAUGGCCUUGAAGACGAGGAGGGCUUGCAGAAAAAGGUGCGAGGUAUUACAAAUGCUGUCAAAGCCCCCACAAUGGACUGCCAGGUCAGUCCCUGGUGUCAUGUUGGGGCACUGUUAAUGUGCUCUCAAAUAAAUUGAAAUGAGCUUGUAGUUAAAAUGAAGCUUUAGAUUUGAGUAGGGACUGACGCUAGUCCAAAUGAUCCCUAUAAAUGGUAAAUGCGAUGCUAGACAGCAUUGAAGUAAGUAACCUACCAUGAAGGAAAUUCAGAAUUAAGAUGCCCUCAAGCCAUGAGGUUGCAUCUCCUUCUUCUCCUUUUCCUUGGCAAUAAAUCAGAAAAUGUGCCAGUGCUGCAGAGCGUGAUUUAGGACUGGCGAUUUUCCCAUUGUUGCUGCAGGCUGAGCACCAUCAGCCCAUGGCUGCUGUGUGCUCGCACCUACAGUAAUCACUGAUUUGGGUGUUGAAGCAAGUCAGCUAUUUAAAUGCUUUCUUGCAAGACAAGUUCCAAGCACCUUGUUUACAUCAGUGCUAAAAUGUGAACAAACCAGUGACUCACUUCUGAACUAAGAUUUCCAUGUUUUGUUUAAGCCUGAAAGAAUUUUGUAUGACUGAAUGCAUUGUUGGAAAGCACAGUUUUACAGUGGUGAAAGUACAUGUUACACUAUCACAAAACUAUUAGGGAUACGUACUCUGUACAUAUGGGCUAUGGGAGGGCUUGAGGGCUCAGGGACAGGAUCCGAGGUGCUCAGGUCCAACUGGUGUUUGCCUCUGCUUGUCCUCCCUUACCCCUGCCACAGGCUUUGCCUCCGAUUUCUCCACAGACAGGGGCAACAAGCUGCCUAUACCUAUAUGGAGCCAGGUGUGUGCAGGGGGCAGCUUUGCUGUGCUCCUUCCUUUCAGGGAGGUACAGAGCACCGUGUUAAAGCCGGGAUUUCAUGCAGAGCAACUCUGCACUUCUCAGCUGUGGCCAACUUCCUCAGUUCCUAAUAGAUGUAGGUUCCCAUAGGUUCACGAUCUACUAGUUAUACAGCUCAUGAACUACACAAGAAUUCAUCUCUGACAUACAGAAGGAGUGACGCACCUCCCUGAUGGCACAGUGAGUCACGGAAAAACAAACAAAGUUUAUCCAGUCACCGUUCUAACUGCUGGUCAUGCAAAUCCCAUCAUAAAACUGAUAUAAAUACAAAUCUUGUGGGUAUAGUUGGUGUUAAUUAGAAUUUGGGAAGCCUUACAUAUUUAAUCAGAUUAAAAACCUUGACAUGAAUGCUGUCUUGUAUUCAGCUAUGAAAUUUCAUCUUGGUGCACUGAAACUGAAAAUACUAAUUUUCCAAGUGCCUUCCACUAUAUUCAGAUAGACUUCCUGCAUGAUUACUGCAAACCUCACCUGCAUGUCAUGGUUAACUAGCUGCAGUCAUGAUGCUCUAUAUGCCACUUUCCUAAUUUGAAACCACACCAAAAAUUCAAAGCUGGGAAUUCCAGAUAUGAAGUGUGCAUUUUUUUUAAAAGGUGAAUACUUUGACACACCUUCAAGACUUGGCACAGUCCUGAAACAUUUCCAAAGUGAUAUUAGCUUAGUAAUAAAUAAAGAAAAAAAAAUUAAAUGUGAAUCCUCUUUGAGUGAUUUUACUGAAAUGGGACUUGGAAUCUGAAAUUUCUAACAAUUCCCAAUUAGCAUAAUAAUCUAUGUGUUUAUCUUUAAUUCGCAAAAUUAGUUUAUUUAUAAGAUUCAUGUUUUGGUAGGACAGUUCAUGCAGGAAAGAAGGAGAAGACCUGGCUUUUGGUCCUUGCUUUAGAGUUUUGCCAGCAGUGAAAGGCUGCAGCAGGUGUAGAGGAUAAGCAGUGGAAGCAGAAACAGCAUAAGGAUGGACCUGACGAUGCUGCACAGGAAGAAAAAGGCCAAAGCACAGGUGAAUGGAGGUAAAACUUGGAGGAGCACAUCUGAUUUCGAGUAGAAACAUAGUUAUAGUAGAAACAUAGUUAUAUAGUAGAAACAUAGUUAUAGAGCAUCAGCGACUCUACAAGAGCUUUUAGGUUGGAACUAUGGUACUUGUGGCCUAGGGUACUUUCUAACAUGUUUUGACACUUUCUGAUUCCCCCCUGGUUUUAUGUCUAUGACAAAAGCCUGAAGGAAUUAAUCAGUACCUGUUUACCACCCUCCAUUUAGUUCAUAGGUAUUUCAGUCAACAGGUAACCCAGCUGGAUGCCAGGCUUGCAGUACUUUCCUUUGCGUGCUUAAAAGAAGGACCAAUCAGAGUGAACUCAAAAAAGGAGAAGAAAUACAUUUCUUUCUUUGUUACCUUGAAAUUCUUUAAGUUUUAAUAAGGGCUUUGUGUCACACAAGCUUCUUCUGUUCAAUGAUUCAGUGUUGGUUUAAUCCUGAGCAUAUAAUGUGUGCCAGUCUGUUGUUAUAGAAGUGUCUGUGAUGUGAUUUCUUUGCAGGACCGAGGCAGAAGAGCCAAGGAGAGAUCACGCUCUUGGUCGGGUGUAAAGAACCCUAGUGGCACAGGCAGCAAAAGGGGGUCCUUUCAGUGAAUUUCUUUACUAUAAAAUGCCUGUAAGGUUAAAUUAUUUUGUUUAAUUUCCCUGCAGUUGUUAACUUUCAGAUAGUCUGCAUGCAUGCAGAUUGUUUAAAAAACAGACACGUAGCGUGCUGGCCACUGUUCUUCUCGCACAGACUCCCACGGGACAUGUUAACCAUAAGCCUCGCUGCCAGACCCUCCGGCACAGAUCUGAGCAAACAGAUGGGCCUUACAUCGUGCCCUGAAAGUCAGCGGACUUUGGCUCUGCUAGGCCACUGGGAGAAGUAAAUUCCUGAGCUGAGCAUGUUUCACAAGGAAAGCAGAGCUUACACUCUCCAGAUGUGCAGAUUCAGGGUGUGCCGGCGAGAGUGCUCUGGCUGCUCUCAGCUGUCAAGAUAGCGCUCGGAAGAGGAGAGGAGGAAAUUCCUCGGGCAGCCCCAGUCCCAACCACACAGCUUCACUGGUCCAAAGGGGUCGUUGCAAAUCCACAGCCCCAGGAUCGGUGCAGGAAGCAAAGAUUGGAAACAAACAGAGCAUGCAGACAGUGUUUAUUUAACACGGGACGCUGCUCUUGAUAACGCAGUUCAUGCAUGAUAUUCUAGUGCAACUUUUUUCUAAAUGGUCCAAAGUUUUCCUGCACUACAUACCUAUUCUUUGUUA